AUGGUGAUCGUGCCAGAGGAAGAUGCUGCCCCGGACCGCGGCCUCUUCACCGACCCGCCGCCACCGAUCAUCAAGACCCCCCCGCCGCGCAAGUCUGCACCACCCAAGUCUCGGGCAAGGCCCCCCUCUGCUCCUGUGCGUCAGAGCGCCAGGCAGGCGAUGAUGAACUGCUCGAUCCCGGUGGCCGAGCGCGCCGCAUUCCGCAUCGUCCGGGAGCUGGGUUUGCUGGGACCGAAGGACAAGAUGACUCCGCAGGCUGCUGAAGCGCUCAUCCGCCGUUUCAAGGAGCCCCUGACCGUCGACGACAUCGCCUGCAUUGCCAGGCUCACUCGCCUGGACGAGGCGGCACUCCUUGUAGCUGCAGGCCUCGCCGGACCUGACGGAGCUGCCAUUGAUGGCCAGUAG
This 405-nucleotide ribosomal RNA is filed under the name Triticum aestivum (bread wheat). RNAcentral's name for it is "partial small subunit ribosomal RNA". The record is from RNAcentral. Lineage: Eukaryota; Viridiplantae; Streptophyta; Magnoliopsida; Poales; Poaceae.